GAUCCUGCUCAGGAUGAACGCUAGCUACAGGCUUAACACAUGCAAGUCGAGGGGAAACGACAUCGAAAGCUUGCUUUUGAUGGGCGUCGACCGGCGCACGGGUGAGUAACGCGUAUCCAACCUGCCUACCACUUGGGGAUAACCUUGCGAAAGUAAGACUAAUACCCAAUGACAUCCCACGAAGACAUCUGAAUGGGAUUAAAGAUUUAUCGGUGAUGGAUGGGGAUGCGUCUGAUUAG
Molecule: ribosomal RNA, 239 nt
Filed under: uncultured bacterium
Lineage: Bacteria
Description: partial 16S ribosomal RNA
Rfam family: Bacterial small subunit ribosomal RNA
Source: RNAcentral